RNAcentral lists this ribosomal RNA (491 nucleotides) under uncultured bacterium. Its description in RNAcentral is "partial 16S ribosomal RNA". It matches the Rfam family "Bacterial small subunit ribosomal RNA", at positions 29 to 506 of the family's 1533-position model. The record is from RNAcentral.
AGUGAACGCUGGCGGUAGGCCUAACACAUGCAAGUCGAACGGCAGCACAGUAAGAGCUUGCUCUUACGGGUGGCGAGUGGCGGACGGGUGAGGAAUACAUCGGAAUCUACUUUUUCGUGGGGGAUAACGUAGGGAAACUUACGCUAAUACCGCAUACGACCUACGGGUGAAAGCAGGGGAUCUUCGGACCUUGCGCGAUUGAAUGAGCCGAUGUCGGAUUAGCUAGUUGGCGGGGUAAAGGCCCACCAAGGCGACGAUCCGUAGCUGGUCUGAGAGGAUGAUCAGCCACACUGGAACUGAGACACGGUCCAGAAUCCUACGGGAGGCAGCAGUGGGGAAUAUUGGACAAUGGGCGCAAGCCUGAGCCAGCCAUACCGCGUGGGUGAAGAAGGCCUUCGGGUUGUAAAGCCCUUUUGUUGGGAAAGAAAAGCAGCAGGUUAAUACCCCGCUGUUCUGACGGUACCCAAAGAAUAAGCACCGGCUAACUUCGU